UACGUAGGUGACAAGCGUUGUCCGGAUUUAUUGGGCGUAAAGCGAGCGCAGGCGGUCCGGUAAGUCUGAUGUGAAAGCCCACGGCUCAACCGUGGAACGGCAUUGGAAACUGGCGGACUUGAAUGUAGCAGAGGAAAGUGGAAUUCCAUGUGUAGCGGUGGAAUGCGUAGAUAUAUGGAGGAACACCAGUGGCGAAAGCGACUUUCUGGGCUAUGAUUGACGCUGAGGCUCGAAAGCGUGGGGAGCGAACAGG
Molecule: ribosomal RNA, 253 nt
Filed under: uncultured bacterium
Lineage: Bacteria
Description: partial 16S ribosomal RNA
Rfam family: Bacterial small subunit ribosomal RNA
Source: RNAcentral